Heterocephalus glaber (naked mole-rat) is the source of this 610-nucleotide long non-coding RNA. RefSeq lists it as uncharacterized. Lineage: Eukaryota; Metazoa; Chordata; Mammalia; Rodentia; Bathyergidae. The record is from RefSeq and is a predicted model, not a curated record.
CAGUAAGCACAAUCUUUAUGUGUGUUUGGUUUAUGGUAGUUACAACCUAGAAAGUGCUGAACGCCUUGGCGGUUGUGUUGCAUGUGGCACCAUCGCUCUCUGCUGGUAGGAGGAAGAAGAGGAGUGCCUGCCUGAGUCUGUGAGUCAUGACCUGAGAAGAGCAGGACAGAACUGCAGAUUACUAUGGGACAUUACACACAAGUGGAAGGUGUUAGAUAAUAUGUGAUGUGUACUCCAUCCUAACUUUCAAAGACACAAAAGGAAACAUUAUCUUCCACUCAACAUCAACAUACCACAGUGAUGCAGAGACUGGAUGACUUCAGGAGAGACAUCCACUUCAAAGAUGGAAGAGCAAGAAAGGCGUACAGCUGUCACUCCUCCAUAGCAAUUCUGAAAUCUCACAGGGAGAAAUGUUGGCAGUUGUGCCUAGUUUGGAAAAAGAAUUUUUGUGAGCAAGCCUAUUACUUCUCCUUGAAAGCUGCUUCCCACCCUACUGUACUUAUUGCUUAGCAGAAGCAGUUCCCAGGUCUAUUGCCUGUAGCUUUUCAAUGGCUUGUACUCUCUUGUCUGAAUGUAUCUUCCCUGUUUCAUCAGAAUAAUAAAAGAUGUG